AAGCAGGUCGAGCUUGGCGUCAGGUGAACCGCGCGAAAUACAAAUUUAGCCUCAGUUUCAGUGAUUUAAUUCUCAAAAACGAGUCUGUUAAAGUACGCGCUGUGUAUCUGCUUAAAGAUAAAGUUCCUGCCACAUGUGUUAUUGAGUCAGAACUUAUUACAGGACACAAGAAUCUGAUGACGGAAAAUCUCAUCAACGGUUAAACUGUUUAUCUGGAAAGUGAGAAAUGCAUAAAAAGACGUUGGUGAAGCGGCGCGCGCUAAACCCUGAAGUUCGAUGGAAAAUGACCACAUGUCAAGGAGAGCUGCUGAGGGAGUCUCAGUGUCCGACAGAGAAGACCCGGGUAUUGUAGAUAACAGUAUCUGCCUACAUUUACAUCAGCACAUAAGGAUGGGUUUUUCAUAUUCUUGUUCAUGAUAGUAGCAGCACGUUUUAGUACAUUGCUUUACAACCACAUCCACAGAAUGUUACUGUUUUUGUAGAUAACUCAGAUAACUACAUAUAAUAAAUCAUUUCAUUCUAGGACUGUGCUGUAAAAGAGAAAAUUACAAGGAGGCCUGGAUCUCGGAAACUUAAAUAACUAGUGAAUCAGACGGGCCAUGCCAAUCCAUCUUAAGGCAGUCUGAGCUACUAAAAUAAUGAAAUUAAAAAGAGAGAAGAUCUGUCUGCGUCAGUGCUUUAGUGCAGAUGAAGGUGGCCGAACAGAUUUUCCCCAUGAAGGAGGUCCAGAAAGUUCACCAGCAAAUUCAACAAUGUGGACAAGCUAGGAAAACAAGAGGUGUAAUUCAUGUCACAAUUCACACCCCCACACACACUCAGACACAGGACACAUCCAAGCACCCAAUACUGCCAUAAUUAAUUGCAUAAGGAAUGAUUAUGAAUGAGAUUUUUCAUUAUGUAUGUAUAGAAUUUAUAUAUAGAUUUAUACCACAAUACAUUAUUCAGUUAUAUAAUUGUAUAUAUUACUGUAUAAUAAAAUUAUAUUAUUGUAUAA
This is a long non-coding RNA of Trichomycterus rosablanca, 994 nucleotides long. RefSeq lists it as uncharacterized. The record is from RefSeq and is a predicted model, not a curated record. NCBI's taxonomy places the organism in Eukaryota, Metazoa, Chordata, Actinopteri, Siluriformes, Trichomycteridae. The transcript has 4 exons.